GGUAUGUACUGGCUUUACUGAUUCCUCCUUCUUGAAGAACUGUAAUGUCAUUAAUUUGGUGUUGCAGGGAAACAGGACUGUUACUUUGAAAAAAUUAGAGUCGUUUAAAGCAGGCUAACGCUUGAAUACAUUAGCAUGGAAUAAUGAAAUAGGACGUACGAUCCUAUUUUGUUGGUUUCUAGGAUUGACGUAAUGAUUAAUAGGGAUAGUUGGGGGCAUUAGUAUUCAAUUGUCAGAGGUGAAAUUCUUGGAUUUAUUGAAGACUAACUACUGCGAAAGCAUUUGCCAAGGAUGUUUUCAUUAAUCAAGAACGAAAGUUAGGGGAUCGAAGACGAUCAGAUACCGUCGUAGUCUUAACCAUAAACUAUGCCGACUAGGGAUCGGAUGAUGUUAAUUUUUUAAUGACUCAUUCGGCGCCUUACG
This 423-nucleotide ribosomal RNA is filed under the name uncultured Glomeromycotina. RNAcentral describes it as "SSU rRNA". It matches the Rfam family "Eukaryotic small subunit ribosomal RNA", at positions 672 to 1092 of the family's 1831-position model. The record is from RNAcentral. Lineage: Eukaryota; Fungi; Glomeromycota.